CCUAACCGCAAGGAAGGAGCCGCCGAAGGCAGGUCUGAUAACUGGGGUGAAGUCGUAACAAGGUAGCCGUAUCGGAAGGUGCGGCUGGAUCACCUCCUUUCUAAGGAA
RNAcentral lists this ribosomal RNA (108 nucleotides) under Clostridium sp. AF46-12NS. Its description in RNAcentral is "partial 16S ribosomal RNA". It matches the Rfam family "Bacterial small subunit ribosomal RNA", at positions 1434 to 1533 of the family's 1533-position model. The record is from RNAcentral. RNAcentral also lists the same sequence under 1 other name. Lineage: Bacteria; Bacillati; Bacillota; Clostridia; Eubacteriales; Clostridiaceae.